RNAcentral lists this transfer RNA (67 nucleotides) under Callimerus nigroapicalis. RNAcentral describes it as "tRNA-Phe". Lineage: Eukaryota; Metazoa; Arthropoda; Insecta; Coleoptera; Cleridae. The record is from RNAcentral.
ACUUAAGUAGCUUAUAUUUAGAGUUUAAUAUUGAAGAUAUUACGGAAAUAAAAUUUAUUCUUAAGUA